This 504-nucleotide ribosomal RNA is filed under the name uncultured bacterium. RNAcentral's name for it is "partial 16S ribosomal RNA". It matches the Rfam family "Bacterial small subunit ribosomal RNA", at positions 30 to 523 of the family's 1533-position model. The record is from RNAcentral.
AUUGAACGCUGGCGGCAUGCCUUACACAUGCAAGUCGAGCGGCAGCAUGGAGAGCUUGCUCUCUGAUGGCGAGUGGCGAACGGGUGAGUAAUGCAUCGGAACGUACCGUGUAAUGGGGGAUAACGUAGCGAAAGUUACGCUAAUACCGCAUACGACCUGCGGGUGAAAGCAGGGGAUCGCAAGACCUUGCGUUAUACGAGCGGCCGAUGUCAGAUGAGCUAGUUGGUGAGGUAAAGGCUCACCAAGGCGACGAUCUGUAGCGGGUCUGAGAGGAUGAUCCGCCACACUGGGACUGAGACACGGCCCAGACUCCUACGGGAGGCAGCAGUGGGGAAUUUUGGACAAUGGGGGCAACCCUGAUCCAGCCAUGCCGCGUGAGUGAAGAAGGCCUUCGGGUUGUAAAGCUCUUUCGGCCGGGAAGAAAUCGCACAGGCUAAUACUCUGUGUGGAUGACGGUACCGGCAUAAGAAGCACCGGCUAACUACGUGCCAGCAGCCGCCGUAA